AGCUAGUGGAAACCCAGGCAGUGACAGGCAGGUAAAAUCACUGGCGGUAAUAUAGAACAGUGCCCUGAUUGGCUGAUACGCAAUCCCUCUCCAUCCCUAUGGAUGCUUGCUGCUGUUCAUUGUAUUGAUAAACUGCUUGCUUAUUCACUCGCAUCCAGCAUCUUCGCUUUGGCUGGAGAAAUAGUAGGCUAAAUUAAUUCAGUAUUGGCGUUAUCAUAGCGAAUAAGAGAGGAGGAAAGCAAACAACAUGACCAUCAGAAAUGUACGGGAUCAUGGACAGAGGUUCCGACCGAGGAUGGCAUGUCUCAAAAAGGUGGAGGCUGUGAUGCUGGAGAUGCAGGAUCCAAAGACUGGAGUUAAGUCACAACCCCAGAAACUGGUUAUCACUACUAUACCUCACGCUAUCACAGGUGAGGAUGUCGUGACAUGGCUAGCCAACCGUUACACUAUAGAGGCAGAAGAAGCGUGGGCUCUGGGCACCAUGUUGGUGGCGUUUGGGUACAUCUAUCCCCUCCAGGAUCAUAAACGACUAGUCAUCAAACCAGACACAGCCCUCUACCGCUUUCAGACACCAUACUUUUGGCCGGCCCAGCAGUGGCCUGUAGAGGACACAGACUAUGCAAUCUACCUGGCCAAGAGAAACAUCCGCAAGAAAGGAGUUCUAGAGAUGCAUGAACAGGAGCAGUAUAACGGCCUUCACAAGUGGAUGAACCAUAAAUGGGACUUCAUUGUGAUGCAGGCUAAAGAACAGUACAGGGCGGGGAAGGAGAGGAAGAAGCCUGAUCGUGCGGUAUUUGACUGCCAGGAGAGAGCCUACUGGGUUGUACACAGACCUCCGCCAGGGACCGUCAGUGCAAUGGACUACGGACUAGAACGCAUGGUAGACCCCAACGCAGAGGAGAAAGAAACUUCAGACUUCUUCAGAAGAAUUAUGAUUUUUACCCAGCAGUCCAUCAUGAGGCCGAGGGUCAAGUCGUCUGUCUCUAUCGGAGCUCUGGUGAAAUACUCUGUCACCUGUAAUAAGCACGACCCUUUCCUAGCCCCCUGUCUCCCUAGCAACCCCUGGGUCACCGAUGAUGUCACCUACUGGUUGCUCAACAUGGCCAAUGUGGAUGUUCCUACUAAGAUGCGUGUGGAGAGGUGGACGUUCAGUUUCGGGGAGCUGCUCUCUGACCCUCGAGGCAGAGAUGACUUCAGACUCUUCCUCAAGAAGGAGUUCAGCGGUGAGAACCUGGCAUUCUGGGAGGCAUGUGAGGAUCUUAAGUGGGGAACGGCUGCUACCAUGAACGAGAAGGCCCAGCAGGUCUACAAGACUUUCUUGGCACGUGGCGCCCCCCGGUGGAUCAACAUUGACGGGAAGACCAUGGAGGUGACAGUUAAAGGGUUGAAACACCCUCACAGAUACGUACUGGAUGCAGCUCAGACACACAUCUUCAUGCUGAUGAAGAAGGACUCUUAUGGGCGGUACCUGAAGUCUCCAGUGUUUAAGGACACUCAGAAGAGGGCCAUCGGUCCUGAUCAACACAGGUUCAGUGUGUCCCAGUUGGAGGCCAAUGCCAGGAAGCGUCGUCCCAGCAUCAGUCCCAUCAUCGUCCGCCAGCAGGAGAAGGAGGAGAGAGCCAGGAUGGCCACCAGUGGCCCUGUGGACAUCACACAGGUCAUGAGUAAACUCAGCAACAAGGGCAAGGAGGUGCCCCCACCCAAAAAAUAGACCACAGACAUACUCACAUGCAUUGACAUAAAUACACACACUUCUAGAAGCACAACUACACACACAUAGGCUACACACCCAAUGAAAAUGUUGCUAUCUUAAAAAAUAGUUUGGAGGACAGCAGCGCUGACGAUUUGUGAAGAUUUGAAAUUAAAAUGUGCAAUUUAGAAUUUCUAUGAACUGUAUACUAGAAGAACCGUAGUCUGACUGUCCACAGACCGUUACAUGUAAAGUUAGUAAGUGUUUUCUGUUCACAUUAUUGUAGAAAAUCAUAGUAAAUGUCACAGGUGAUAGUGUUAUAGUCUUGAUGGUAUGUUCACCUGCGUCUCACCAGUACCUGCGUCUCUCACCUCUCUUUCAAUGUCAUUCAGCUUCAUAUUCCACCUAUAGGGACAUAUCUGUGUUUUGUUCCACCAAUAGAGUGCCUCUUAUGUCCCUCAGACAUUGUGUGUACAUAAACCCCGGUAAACAAUGCCAAUAGCAGUGUUCUCUCAUUCAAAUAAAUUGUGUUUUAACUGAAAAUUCCCGUUUUGGCAUGUCACAAGUCAUGUUUGUCCAACUUCUAGGAAGAUUUUAACCCCAAGAUCAUCCCAAAGUUUUCGCCAUCAGUCCUAGUUCUUUUGUGGCUCAGGGAAAGAUCUUAUUUAAUGUGAUUCAUUUCAUUUACAUUUGAAGGGCUUAUUUCCAAAAUGCUAUACCCACCAAUUUUUCACAAUUUGCGUUUUUGUUUAAUCAGAAAUGGUUGCUUAUGGGAGCCCUCCUGUGUGUACAAUAUUACUGUUCUAAGUUGUUUAAUUAAUCCAAUUUUUUUUUAAAGAAGUUUUGCCAUACGGUAUAAAUCCAUUAUUUAGCUGGAAUGAAAUGUUCGUAUUCUGUAUUUGACUGUGAUAGGUGGUUGUCUCACCUAGAUAUCUUAAGAUAAAUUGAGUAACUGUCAAUUGCUCUAAAUAUGAGCUUCUGCUAAAUAACUAAAAUGUCAAAUGUUUUACAUACAGACCUCAUAUUACUACAUUGAAUAAUUUUUUUUCAUUUGACUGUGUAAAACCUAGCAGUACUACUGAUUUCUCUGAGAGUGAGGCGGAUAUAUAUUAUUACUGUGUAAAACCUAGCAGUACUACUGAUUUCUCUGAGAGUGAGGCGGAUAUAUAUUAUUACUGUGUAAAACCUAGCAGUACUACUGAUUUCUCUGAGAGUGAGGCGGAUAUAUAUUAUUACUGUGUAAAACCUAGCAGUACUACUGAUUUCUCUGAGAGUGAGGCGGAUAUAUAUUAUUACUGUGUAAAACCUAGCAGUACUACUGAUUUCUCUGAGAGUGAGGCGGAUAUAUAUUAUUACUGUGUAAAACCUAGCAGUACUACUGAUUUCUCUGAGAGUGAGGCGGAUAUAUAUUAUUACUGUGUAAAACCUAGCAGUACUACUGAUUUCUCUGAGAGUGAGGCGGAUAUAUAGCAUUUGGCAAAAAACAUGAUUAUUUGUCUCUGAAAUGAAACCAUCAAGUGACAGAUGAUUUUAAAAAAUUAAAAAAGACAUGUCUGUCAUUGAACAACCCCAUGCCAUGAUUAGAUGGUGUGUUUUUCCACUAAUCUCAUUCAUAAGUUCUUCAAAUAAUAAAAGCAAAUUUACCAACAUUUCUGUUAUGGAUAUAUAUAUAUAUAUAUAUAGCAUUUUGGAAAUAAACUCUUAAUUUGUCCCUCAGGGUUAACCCUGUAACGUGAACUCAACUCUUGUGUUAAUAUGUUAACACUAUUCCCUUUUUGAAGAAACAUUGAACAUUUAAUAGCAGUUGAGAUGGCUCUACUUUUUCUGGCCAUUUUCUGGUGUUUUGUGGUGGAAAACUGAGAACAUUGAGCAUAACACGUCAACCCUGUUACCUAUUGAUACACUACAUGACAAAAAGUAUGUGGACACCUCGUUGAACAUCUCAUUCCAAAGUCAUGGCCAUUAAUAUGGAGUUGGUCCCCCCCGUUGCUGCUAUAACAGCCUCCACUCUUCUGGGAAGGCUUUCCACUAGAUGUUGGAACAUUGCUGUGGGUUCGGUGCAGGCCAGGGCUCGGUGCAGGCCAGUCAAGUUCUUCCACGCCAAUCUCGACAAACCAUUUCUGUAUGGACCUCGGCUCUGUGCACGGGGGCAUUGUCAUGCUGAAACAGGAAAGGGCCCCAAACUGUUGCCACAAAGUUGGAACCACAGAAUUCUUUAGAAUGUCAUUGUAUGCUGUGGUGUUAUGAUGACAGGGGACGCAGCUCUGUUGCAUCCUGCAGUGUGUGUGACGUUUGGUGUGGUUUGUGUUUGGGUGGCGUUCUUUGAUGUUUUUAAUUAGACCCAAGCCACCCCCUGCACCUGGACUUUGAACUACUCCCCUCUGGGCGCAGGUAUAGGGCACCCCUCAGAAGGAAAAACAGAACUAGACAAUCAUUUGUGCCAGGUGUGAUUUCCCUCCUAAAUAGCUUGGGCUAAUGUUCCUAUCAACUCAGUAAGGCCAGCAGACUAGUCUUUAUAUAUAUAUAUAUAUAGUCUUAAAUAUGUUUUAUUAGUAUGUAACUGUUAUGAAAGUUGUAUUGUCAAUUUUGUUUUGUAUUUAAACGCCACUUUAAACGUGUCCAUGGCAACAACAUGUCUCCAUUGGGACAAUGAAGUCAGUAAGUGUUAAGAUUUCCCUUCACUGGAACUAAGGGGCCUUAACCAUUAUUCCUCAUUCACCAAACUUUACAGUUGGCACUAUGUAUUCGGGCAGGAAGCGUUCUUCUGGCAUCUGCCAAACCCAGAUUAGUCCGUUGGACUGCCAGAUGGUGAAGCGUGAUUCAUCACUCCAGAGAGCGUGUUUUCACUGGUCCAGAGUCCAAUUGCGGCAACCUUUACACCACUCCAGCUGGCGUUUGGCAUUGUGAAUGGUGAUCUUAGGCUUGUGUGCGGCUGUUUGACCAUGGAAACCCAUUUCAUGAAGCUCCUGAAGAACAGUUCUUGUGCUGACGUUGCUUCCAGAGGCAGUUUAGAACUCAGUAGUGAGUGUUGCAACCGAGGACAGACUAUUUUUUACGCGCUUCAAUACUCGGUGGUCCCAUUCUGUGAGCUUGUGUGGCCUACCACUUCGUGGCUGAGCCGUUGUUGCUCCUAGACAUUUCCCAGUUCACAAUAACAGCACUUACAGUUGACCAGGGCAGCUCUAGCUGGGCAGAAAUUUGAUGAACUGACUUAUUGGAAAGGUGGUAUCCUAUGACGGUGCCACGUUAAAAGUCACUGAGCUCUUCAGUAAGGCCAUUCUCCUGCCAAUCUUUGUCUAUGGAGAUUGCAUGGCAUGCUCGAUUUUUAUACACCUCUCGGCAACAGGUGUGGCUGAAUUAGCCAAAUCCACUAAUUUGAAGGGGUGUCCACAUACUUUUGUAUAUAUAUUGUAGAUAGGCUAGAAAUGUUUAAAAAAUAUUCUAUUUUUUGUGAUUGUUCCUCCCGGUUGCACACAGCAAGCGUCCAUUCCCCCUGUAACAAUGGGAGUUAUGGCUGAUUUAAGAUUAAAUCGUCAACCCGGUUACAGUCAACCCUGUUACAGUCAACCCUGUGUGCUAUUAAUGAUAGAAUGUUCAAAUUUGGUGGAAUAAAAUGAAGAAGAAGAAAAGCCAGUCCCCUAAAGGCAGUCUAUUUGUGGAAUGGCACAUAUGUUGUAUGUCAUAACUGUAACCUACAUGUCUGCACCAUCUAUACAAUAAAGCAUCAAUUACCAGCCAUAUCUGUCUGUCAUGUCAUCUUCAUUGUGUCAUCCAGUCACUGUGCCCAUCACUGUCCAUAAUGCCAUAACAGAACUCACAGAUAACUCAGUCAUUCCUGUCACAGGGCCAGACCAAUUCAUGCUACACUUCAUCUACAGUUUACCAGUGUUCAGCGUUUAUUCAUCAUUUUUACCACUCCAUCCCUGUGUGCGAUGUAUUAGUAUGACCUCUCAGUGAUCUUUCCCACCCCUGACCCUAUAUCUGACCUUUAACCCCUACAGCUGUGUCGCUUUACAGCACCCGUCCCCCACCUCGCGGUCUACUCCGGCCCCCCCUCCUCCUCCCCGGCCUCACCCCCUUUCCCCUUCCGUCUCCCCCACACCCCCACCUGCCCUUCACCCAUCAGCGUAACCAUAGACAGCACCCCCGCCUCAGAACGCAGGUGGGAGGAAGGAAGAGGAGGUGGGCUGGAGGGGGGAGAGACGGGCCCUGAGUGCUGGGGGACAGCUGUCUCUUCUCGUUCCCGUAUGGCUCUCUCAUUGGGCCGUCUGUUGAGGCGGGGCUGUACUUCCUCCACGGUAUUCGCCAACCUGUCACCCAAAUGUCCUGCCCCCGCCGGGACCAGCAGCCGCGUUCAGCCUAUCAGCACGGAGCAGCCCAGCCAAGCCCCGCCCAGACGCAUUGCCAAUUUUUUCCAGAUAAAGGUGGACAUCCCUCCAGAGUGUCGCAUCUACCCCAUCGACUCCGAGGAUGAGGAGGAGAGUGGGGGGGCGUCGAGAAGGGUUGGAGGAGGAGGAGGGCAGGUGAAGGAGAUCAUCUGUCCCUGGGAGAGUGUGACACCUCAUGAGGGGGCUGGGUAACAAACACACACAUUCACCGAAGCGAAUGCACAACACACACAGAGAUGGACACACACGGACACAGCUGAAUCCUUACCGUAAUCCUUAAUUUAACCAAACUGAUCGCUCUCUCGCACCUACCAGGUGAUGGUCAUUCAAUUCAUACAUCAAUGCUCUGGACAUUCAGAAGUAGCAGAAGCUAGUCAAAGCUAGCUGAACGUUGCCCACUGACAUCAACCCAGCUUUUGAUUAUAUGAGUCUACUGGGAGUUUGCACAACACCUCUCAGCAAUGUACGUAUUUAUAUAUAUAUUCUAGUGAGUUAAACUCUGUUUAGUUUUCUGACGUUAGGUCUACAGUGUGUCUCCACCAUGCUGCUGCUCUGUAGAGUUUUGCGUGAGGCUUCUCUGCUGUUUUAUGUAGCUUUGUAGUACUCUAGUCCAGGACUCGGACUUGACUCGACCAGUGGUGACUUGGGACUUGGACUCGGACUUGACUCGGACUCGACCAUUGGUGACUCGGACUUGACUCGGACACAGGUCACGAUUUUCAUGGCUCGUGACUCGACUUGGACUCGACCAGUGGUGACUCAGACUUGGACUCGACCAGUGGUGACUCAGACUUGGACUCGACCAGUGGUGACUCAGACUUGGACUCGACCAGUGGUGACUCAGACUUGGACUCGACCAGUGGUGACUCAGACUUGGACUCGACCAGUGGUGACUCAGACUUGGACACGACCAGUGGUGACUCAGACUUGAACUUGACCAGUGGUAACUUUGUUGUCAGACAAUCUCUCUCUUCUGCAUAAUUCAACAUAGAUUUUAGAUAACUGUAUUGUCUAUUUAAUAGCCUUACAAUGUGCCACACUGUAAUGAAAUUAAACUUUAAAAUGUUUGAACAGCAACGUUUAACACUAUCAAGUGACUUGGACACAAGGUUUACUGACUUGCCUAAAUCACGUUUCAUACAGACCCCUGUUGGGUAGCCUUUGUCUUUAUCUUUAGGGGUUAAGUGAUGUUUUUCCAUAGUGUCUUUCCUAAUGGACAGUGCAGUGAGUUAACUAACAGAAUGUAUUUUACCCUCUACUUGUAAUGUGUUUACAGAGACCAGAAUGUGACACGUGAACAGUAUUGUAUGAUUUCUUGUGUAAGUGCCUCAAUAAAUGACUAAACAUGACUGUAA
This is an RNA transcript of Oncorhynchus kisutch (coho salmon), 7433 nucleotides long. It is a transcript of the gene named regulator of G protein signaling 9b, with no coding region annotated. The transcript has 18 exons. NCBI's taxonomy places the organism in Eukaryota, Metazoa, Chordata, Actinopteri, Salmoniformes, Salmonidae. The record is from RefSeq and is a predicted model, not a curated record.